CAAUUGGAGGGCAAGUCUGGUGUCAGCAGCCGCGGUAAUUCCAGCUCCAAUAGCGUAUAUAAAAGUUGUUGCGGUUAAAAAGCUCGUAGUUGGAUCUGUGUCCCGCACCGUCGGUUCACCGCCCGACGGUGUCAAACUGACGCGAUGCGGGACGUCCUGCCGGUGGCGUGUCUAGCUGGCGGCUUUCGGGUCGUUGGGCGGCGCCGAUUCAAUCCUGUCGCGGUGCUCUUCAUUGAGUGUCGAGGUGGGCCGGCACUUUUACUUUGAACAAAUUAGAGUGCUUCAAGCAGGCUGGAUAUUGCCUGAAUGCUAGUGCAUGGAAUAAUGGAAUAGGACCUCGGUUCUAUUUUGUUGGUUUUCAGAACCAGAGGUAAUGAUUAAUGGAGACAGGCGGGGGCAUUCGUAUUGCGACGUUAGAGGUGAAAUUCUUGGAUCGUCGCAAGACGGACCGAAGCGAAAGCAUUUGCCAAGGAUGUUCUCGUUGAUCAAGAACGAAAGUUAGAGGUUCGAAGGCGAUCAGAUACCGCCCUAGUUCUAACCAUAAACGAUGUUGACUAGCCAUCCGAUAAAGGUUCUUUUUAUGCCUUAUCGGGCAGCUUCCGGGAAACCAAAGUUUUUGAAUUCCGGGGGAAGUAUGGUUGCAAAGCUGAAACUUAAAGGAAUUGACGGAAGGGCACUACCAGGAGUGGAGCCUGCGGUUCAAUUUGACCCAACACGGGAAAGCUCACCAGGCCCGGACAUUGGAAGGAUUGACAGAUCGAUAGCUCUUUCUCGAUUCAUUGGGUAGUGGUGCAUGGCCGUUCCUAGUUGGUGGACUGAUUUGUCUGGUUAAUUCUGAUAACGAACGAGACUCUAACCUAUUAACUAGACGAUAUACCGGUAUAAAAACCCUACCGGCGAGAUUUAUUCUUCUUAAGGGGACUGGCGGCUCUCAGCCGCACGAGAUUGAGCAAUAACAGGUCAGUGAUGCCCUC
RNAcentral lists this ribosomal RNA (974 nucleotides) under Chloropicon mariensis. RNAcentral describes it as "partial Eukaryotic small subunit ribosomal RNA". It matches the Rfam family "Eukaryotic small subunit ribosomal RNA", at positions 545 to 1474 of the family's 1831-position model. Lineage: Eukaryota; Viridiplantae; Chlorophyta; Chloropicophyceae; Chloropicales; Chloropicaceae. The record is from RNAcentral.